CGGGCUGUGGCGCAGUCUGGUAGCGCGCUUGCAUGGGGUGCAAGAGGUCGGGAGUUCGAGUCUCCCCAGUCCGACCA
Molecule: transfer RNA, 77 nt
Filed under: Puniceicoccales bacterium
Lineage: Bacteria; Pseudomonadati; Verrucomicrobiota; Opitutia; Puniceicoccales
Description: tRNA-Pro
Rfam family: tRNA
About the family: Transfer RNA (tRNA) molecules are approximately 80 nucleotides in length. Their secondary structure includes four short double-helical elements and three loops (D, anti-codon, and T loops).
Source: RNAcentral